GACGAACGCUGGCGGCGUGCUUAACACAUGCAAGUCGAACGGUGAAGCGCCUUCCUUUUUGGUGGGUGUGGAUGAGUGGCGAACGGGUGAGUAACACGUGAGUAACCUGCCCCCUUCUUCUGGAUAACCGCAUGAAAGUGUGGCUAAUACGGGAUAUUCUGGGUCUGUCGCAUGAUGGGUCUGGGAAAGAUAUUGUUUCGGUGGGGGAUGGGCUCGCGGCCUAUCAGCUUGUUGGUGGGGUGAUGGCCUACCAAGGCGGUGACGGGUAGCCGGCCUGAGAGGGUGGGGGACAACAGAGGGGGGAAGACGGGCCCAAGCCUCCGGGGGGGGGCAGGAGGGGAAAUUAUGGAACGGGGGGAGAAAGGAUGGUGAAGCGGCGCGGGGGGGGGGAGGGGGGCCUUGGGGUUGUAAACCUUUUUGGGGAGAGAAGAAGGGUGGCAUUGUUUGGGGGGGGUUGGACGGGAGCGGAACAGAAAGCCCCGGCUAACUACGUG
This 494-nucleotide ribosomal RNA is filed under the name uncultured bacterium. RNAcentral describes it as "partial 16S ribosomal RNA". It matches the Rfam family "Bacterial small subunit ribosomal RNA", at positions 28 to 507 of the family's 1533-position model. The record is from RNAcentral.